This 468-nucleotide ribosomal RNA is filed under the name uncultured bacterium. RNAcentral describes it as "partial 16S ribosomal RNA". It matches the Rfam family "Bacterial small subunit ribosomal RNA", at positions 28 to 507 of the family's 1533-position model. The record is from RNAcentral.
GAUGAACGCUGGCGGCGUGCUUAACACAUGCAAGUCGAACGGAAAGGCCCUGCUUUUGCGGGGUGCUCGAGUGGCGAACGGGAGAGUAACACGUGAGUAACCUGCCCUUGACUUUGGGACAACUUCAGGAAACUGGGGCUAAUACCUGAUAGGUGCUCCUGCUGCAUGGUGGGGGUUGGAAAGCUUCGGCGGUUGGGGAUGGACUCGCGGCUUACCAGCUUGUUGGGGGGGUAGCGGCCUACGAAGGCUUCGACGGGUAGCCGGCCUGGGAGGGUGACCGGCCACAUUGGGACUGAGGUACGGCCCAGACUCCUACGGGGGGCAGCGGGGGGAAGUAUUGCCCAAUGGGCGGAAGCCUGAUGCGACGGCCCCGGGUGCGGGAUGACGGCCUUCGGGUUGUAAACCGCUUUCGCCUGUGACGAAGCGUGAGUGACGGUACUGGGUGAAGAAGCACCGGCUAACUACGUG